GAGUUUGAUCCUGGCUCAGGACGAACGCUGGCGGCGCGCCUAACACAUGCAAGUCGAACGAGCGAGAGAGCUUGCUUUCUCAAGCGAGUGGCGAACGGGUGAGUAACGCGUGAGGAACCUGCCUCAAAGAGGGGGACAACAGUUGGAAACGACUGCUAAUACCGCAUAAGCCCACAGCUCGGCAUCGAGCAGAGGGAAAAGGAGCAAUCCGCUUUGAGAUGGCCUCGCGUCCGAUUAGCUAGUUGGUGAGGUAAUGGCCCACCAAGGCGACGAUCGGUAGCCGGACUGAGAGGUUGAACGGCCACAUUGGGACUGAGACACGGCCCAGACUCCUACGGGAGGCAGCAGUGGGGAAUAUUGCACAAUGGGGGAAACCCUGAUGCAGCGACGCCGCGUGGAGGAAGAAGGUCUUCGGAUUGUAAACUCCUGUUGUUGAGGAAGAUAAUGACGGUACUCAACAAGGAAGUGACGGCUAACUACGUGCCAGCAGCCGCGGUAAAACGUAGGUCACAAGCGUUGUCCGGAAUUACUGGGUGUAAAGGGAGCGCAGGCGGGAAGACAAGUUGGAAGUGAAAUCUAUGGGCUCAACCCAUAAACUGCUUUCAAAACUGUNUUUCUUGAGUAGUGCAGAGGUAGGCGGAAUUCCCGGUGUAGCGGUGGAAUGCGUAGAUAUCGGGAGGAACACAGUGGCGAAGGCGGCCUACUGGGCACCAACUGACGCUGAGGCUCGAAAGUGUGGGUAGCAACAGGAUUAGAUACCCUGGUAGUCCACACCGUAAACGAUGAUUACUAGGUGUUGGAGGAUUGACCCCUUCAGUGCCGCAGUUAACACAAUAAGUAUUCCACCUGGGGAGUACGACCGCAAGGUUGAAACUCAAAGGAAUUGACGGGGGCCCGCACAAGCAGUGGAGUAUGUGGUUUAAUUCGACGCAACGCGAAGAACCUUACCAAGUCUUGACAUCCUGCGACGCACAUAGAAAUAUGUGUUUCCUUCGGGACGCAGAGACAGGUGGUGCAUGGUUGUCGUCAGCUCGUGUCGUGAGAUGCUGGGUUAAGUCCCGCAACGAGCGCAACCCUUACUGUCAGUUACUACGCAAGAGGACUCUGGCAGGACUGCCGUUGACAAAACGGAGGAAGGUGGGGAUGACGUCAAAUCAUCAUGCCCUUUAUGACUUGGGCUACACACGUACUACAAUGGCGUUAAACAAAGAGAAGCAAGACCGCGAGGUGGAGCAAAACUCAGACACAACGUCCCAGUUCGGACUGCAGGCUGCAACUCGCCUGCACGAAGUCGGAAUUGCUAGUAAUCGUGGAUCAGCAUGCCACGGUGAAUACGUUCCCGGGCCUUGUACACACCGCCCGUC
Molecule: ribosomal RNA, 1364 nt
Filed under: uncultured bacterium
Lineage: Bacteria
Description: bacterial SSU rRNA
Rfam family: Bacterial small subunit ribosomal RNA
Source: RNAcentral